This 253-nucleotide ribosomal RNA is filed under the name uncultured bacterium. RNAcentral describes it as "partial 16S ribosomal RNA". It matches the Rfam family "Bacterial small subunit ribosomal RNA", at positions 524 to 776 of the family's 1533-position model. The record is from RNAcentral.
UACGUAGGGGGCUAGCGUUGUCCGGAAUCAUUGGGCGUAAAGCGCGUGUAGGCGGUCCGAUAAGUCCGCUGUGAAAGUCGAGGGCUCAACCCUCGAAUGCCGGUGGAUACUGUCGGGCUUGAGUACGGGAGAGGCGAGUGGAAUUCCUGGUGUAGCGGUGAAAUGCGCAGAUAUCAGGAGGAACACCGAUUGCGAAGGCAGCUCGCUGGAACGUUACUGACGCUGAGACGCGAAAGCGUGGGGAGCAAACAGG